Molecule: ribosomal RNA, 591 nt
Filed under: uncultured bacterium
Lineage: Bacteria
Description: bacterial SSU rRNA
Rfam family: Bacterial small subunit ribosomal RNA
Source: RNAcentral
ACGGGGUAGGAAUGGUCGGUGACGUACCCUUCGGACGGGGAUAGCCACGGGAAACUGUGGGUAAUACUCGAUAAACUCCCGGAACGUAAUGGUUUUGGGAGCAAAGGUGAGAUUCCACCGGAGGAGCGGCUGACUUAGUAUUAGCUAGUUGGUGAGGUAAAAGCUCACCAAGGCUUCGAUGCUUAGGGGGUGUGAGAGCAUGACCCCCACCACUGGGACUGAGAUACUGCCCAGACACCUACGGGUGGCUGCAGUCGAGGAUCUUCGGCAAUGGGCGCAAGCCUGACCGAGCGACGCCGCGUGUGGGAUGAAGGCCCUUGGGUUGUAAACCACUGUCGAGGGGAAUGAAAUGCGUGUGGGUACUCCCAUGCGUUUGACGGAACCCUGGAGGAAGCACGGGCUAAGUUCGUGCCAGCAGCCGCGGUAAUACGAACUGUGCGAACGUUAUUCGGAAUCACUGGGCUUAAAGGGUGCGUAGGCGGCUUGUUAAGCAGGGUGUGAAAGCCCUCGGCUCAACCGAGGAAUAGCGCUCUGAACUGGCGAGCUGGAGUGAUGCAGGGGUGCGCGGAACUUCCAGUGGAGCGGUGAAAU